RNAcentral lists this ribosomal RNA (468 nucleotides) under uncultured bacterium. RNAcentral describes it as "partial 16S ribosomal RNA". It matches the Rfam family "Bacterial small subunit ribosomal RNA", at positions 28 to 507 of the family's 1533-position model. The record is from RNAcentral.
GACGAACGCUGGCGGCGUGCUUAACACAUGCGAGUCGAACGGAAAGGCCCUGCUUUUGUGGGGUGCUCGAGUGGCGAACGGGUGAGUAACACGUGAGUAACCUGCCCUUGACUUUGGGAUAACUUCAGGAAACUGGGGCUAAUACCGGAUAGGAGCUCCUGCUGCAUGGUGGGGGUUGGAUAGUUUCGGCGGUUGGGGAUGGACGGGCGGCUUAUCAGCUUGUUGGUGGGGUAGUGGCUUACCAAGGCUUUGACGGGUAGCCGGCCUGAGAGGGUGACCGGCGACAUGGGGACUGAGAGACGGCCCAGACUCCUACGGGAGGCAGCAGUGGGGAAUAUUGCACAGUGGGCGGAAGCCGGAUGCAGCGACGCCGCGUGCGGGAUGACGGCCUGCGGGGUGUAAACCGCUGUCGCCUGUGACGAAGCGGGAGUGACGGUAAUGGGUAAAGAAGCACCGGCUAACUACGUG